UGGUGGAGUGAUUUGUCUGGUUAAUUCCGUUAACGAACGAGACCUUAGCCUACUAACUAGUCGAGCCAAUCUCCGAUUGGCCGCGACUUCUUAGAGGGACUUUGUGGCUCCAAACACAAGGAAGUUUGAGGCAAUAACA
Molecule: ribosomal RNA, 139 nt
Filed under: uncultured eukaryote
Lineage: Eukaryota
Description: partial 18S ribosomal RNA
Rfam family: Eukaryotic small subunit ribosomal RNA
Source: RNAcentral